GGGGGGGGGGGGGGGGGGGCGGGGGGGGGGCGGGGGGGGCGGGGGGGGCGUUGGGGGUGCGCGGGGCGCGCACGGGGGAGGGACUCGUGGGUCGCCGGCCCUUCACUCGGGGGUAACCGCGGGCCACGGCUGCUAGUCCCGGCUCAGCGGCUCCUGGCGCCUGGGGGGGGGUGCAAACUCUGGGUGGUGAAGGAUGGACUCGCUUCCUACCCGCGUGUUGGUGGGGUGAUGGCGUACCAAGGCGUCGACGGGUAGCCGGCCUGAGAGGGCGACCGGCCACAGUGGGACUGAGGUACGGGCCAAACUGCUACGGGAGGCCGCAGUGGGGAAUAGUGCACAAUGGGCGGAAGCGUGAUGCAGCAACGCCGCGUGCGGGAUGACGGGCUUCGGGUUGUAAACCGAUUCCAGCAGGGAAGAAGCGCAAGUGACGGUACUUGCAGAAGAAGCACCGGCUAACUACGUG
Molecule: ribosomal RNA, 463 nt
Filed under: uncultured bacterium
Lineage: Bacteria
Description: partial 16S ribosomal RNA
Rfam family: Bacterial small subunit ribosomal RNA (bases 49-463)
Source: RNAcentral